UACGGGGGGAGCAAGCGUUGUUCGGAUUUACUGGGCGUAAAGGGCGCGUAGGCGGCCACCGCAAGUCGGUUGUGAAAUCUCUGGGCUUAACCCAGAAAGGUCAACCGAUACUGCGGGGCUAGAGUGCAGAAGGGGCAACUGGAAUUCUCGGUGUAGCGGUGAAAUGCGUAGAUAUCGGGAGGAACACCAAUGGCGAAGGCAGCUCGCUGGGACGUUACUGACGCUGAGACGCGAAAGCGUGGGGAGCAAACAGG
Molecule: ribosomal RNA, 254 nt
Filed under: uncultured bacterium
Lineage: Bacteria
Description: partial 16S ribosomal RNA
Rfam family: Bacterial small subunit ribosomal RNA
Source: RNAcentral